GCUACGGGUGGUGGCACACACCUGUAAUCCCAGCUAUUUGGGAGGCUGAGGUGAGAGGAUCGCUUGAGCCCAGGAAUUCUGGGCUGUAGUGUAUGUACUGUGCUGAUCAGGUGUCCACUCUCAAGUUUUGCAUCCAUAUGGUGACCUCCAGGGAGUGGGGGGUCACCAGGUUGCCUAAGGAGAGAUGAACUGACCCAGGUCAGAAACAGAGCAGGUCCAAACUCCCAUGCUGAUUAGUAGUGGGAUCAAUGCCUGUGAAUGGCCACUACACUAUAGCCUAGGUGGCAUAGCAAGACCCUAUCUCU
This 305-nucleotide signal recognition particle RNA is filed under the name Prolemur simus (greater bamboo lemur). RNAcentral describes it as "Metazoan signal recognition particle RNA (ENSPSMG00000002211.1)". It matches the Rfam family "Metazoan signal recognition particle RNA". Rfam says of the family: The signal recognition particle (SRP) is a universally conserved ribonucleoprotein. Lineage: Eukaryota; Metazoa; Chordata; Mammalia; Primates; Lemuridae. The record is from RNAcentral.